Non-coding RNA from Polypterus senegalus (gray bichir), 1350 nucleotides. Lineage: Eukaryota; Metazoa; Chordata; Cladistia; Polypteriformes; Polypteridae. The record is from the annotation of a RefSeq genome assembly.
CCGACACUCCCAGUAAAAUGAAGGCACUGGACACACUGACCGCGGUGCUGCUCCUCAGCUGUACCCUUGGCUCCAGUGCUCAGAUCACCCUGACUCAGCCUCAGACAGCAGUGACUGGUCAUCCUGGAGAGACGGUGACCAUCAAAUGCCAGACCAGUAGCUCUAUUUACAGCUCCCAAUGGAAGGUAGACAUGUUACUCUGGGUUCAUGAGAGGCCUGGAAUGCCUCGCAGGGGUCUCUUGUAUGAUGCUGUUCGUCAAAUGUCUGGGGUGCCAAGUCGCUUCAGUGGCAGUGGAGGUGGGAAUGAAUUCACGCUGACCAUCACUGGAGUCCAGCCUGAAGACGCUGGCAUUUACUUUUGUGGACAGUACCAAACUACACAAUGCACAGUGACAGAGAGCUGAACAAAAACCUCAGCUCAGUGCCCACCUGCUGUGACAGCUGUGCCAAGGCACAGUGGCAUGUGGCCUCUGGUGGAGAGCAGCAGAACAGACAGAGACAAAGACAAAGACAAAGAAAAUACUACAUUGAUGUUUUUGAUAUCCAGAACCACUUUAACACUUGAACACUUUUAAUUCAUGGCUUUUUAAAGUCAAUUUAGUUCGUUUCCCGAGACAAUUAAGGCGAGUAAACUUAGGGAUUGUUUGGGGGGUCAGGGCGCAGUUCUAAAUCCUCUGAGACUCAGUUGACAUUUCAGACAUCAGUCACCUUGCCCCACUUUCUCUUCCGUGGGCUUACAGUUCACUGACAUAUUUAAGGAAGUGAAGGAGUAAAGCAGAAAGUGGCACAUGGUACAGUAAAGCUGCAAAUAACUUGCAGGGAUUGUUUUUGGAUGGGCUCUCGUAUUUGGGUAAUGCAGUGCUUAGUCCUACUGCUUCAUGGAGCCAGCAUCCUGAUCUCUGAUGCCUGUUGUAUGAGUGCAGUUUGCUGUUCUCCCAUGUGUCCCACAUAACCAAAGGCAUGUGGAUUAAGUUGAUGGGCUCCACACACAUCCUCUGAUAAAGUACCCCUCUGCCUAGAACUUUUUCUUACCUUGUGUCCACUGCUGCAUGAAUAUCCUAUGGUGACCCUGAUUUGAAUUAUAGUAAGUAGGUUUGACAGAGAAAUGACUUGCCAGUUAGGAGAACAUAGAUGACAUUUGACAGACUAGUGAUCUUGUCAGUGACAUGUUAAGCAAUGCUGCCACCUUGUGCCCUUAGGUAAAUUGCACCUACAUUUUCCAAAACACAAAACCAAUCUAGGAUUUUUUUUAGAGUACACUGAAACAUAAGAAACCAAAAUUAAGUGUGACACACAACGGUAUCAAUUUAGAUGUAUUAAAGAUAGUGUGUGAAUUCAGAUAUGGGUUCA